RNAcentral lists this unclassified non-coding RNA (247 nucleotides) under Hevea brasiliensis (rubber tree). Lineage: Eukaryota; Viridiplantae; Streptophyta; Magnoliopsida; Malpighiales; Euphorbiaceae. The record is from RNAcentral.
AAUGAACCUCCAUGUUUUACUUCCAAGUUUGCUAAUCCCUUCGGUGAACAACACUUGGAAAAACGUUUUUAGUUUGGAAAGCGUUUAUCCCAUGAAUACUCUACUGUUCAGUAUCUUCUGAGACUCGGACACACCCAAAUUUCUGAUUCCACUCUCUUUCAUCCAUUUCUCUCCUCCCACCGAACUACCUUGAAGCUGCUGCUCCUCCAUUUUCAACGACUUCAAGCCAUCACUUAAUUUGGGGAAA